RNAcentral lists this ribosomal RNA (492 nucleotides) under uncultured bacterium. RNAcentral's name for it is "partial 16S ribosomal RNA". It matches the Rfam family "Bacterial small subunit ribosomal RNA", at positions 29 to 507 of the family's 1533-position model. The record is from RNAcentral.
AGUGAACGCUGGCGGUAGGCCUAACACAUGCAAGUCGAACGGCAGCACAGUAAGAGCUUGCUCUUACGGGUGGCGAGUGGCGGACGGGUGAGGAAUACAUCGGAAUCUACUUUUUCGUGGGGGCUAACGUAGGGAAACUUACGCUAAUACCGCAUACGACCUACGGGUGAAAGCAGGGGAUCUUCGGCCCUUGCGCGAUUGAAUGAGCCGAUGUCGGAUUAGCUAGUUGGCGGGGUAAAGGCCCACUAAGGCGACGAUCCGUAGCUGGUCUGAGAGGAUGAUCAGCCACACUGGAACUGAGACACGGUCCAGACUCCUACGGGAGGCAGCAGUGGGGAAUAUUGGACAAUGGGCGCAAGCCUGAUCCAGCCAUACCGCGUGUGUGAAGAAGGCCUUCGGGUUGUAAAGCCCUUUUGUUGGGAAAGAAAAGCAGCAGGUUAAUACCCCGCUGUUCUGACGGUACCCAAAGAAUAAGCACCGGCUAACUUCGUG